CUGAAGGGUCCCCUCCCCCACCCCCCUCUAUGUAAAGUUCUCAAUUCUCAGUAUCUCACAUCAGCAAUUACCAUCUGCUAGCCCAAAGAGGAGAUAAUUUUCUUCUAAGACUUUCUGGAUAUUCACUAAAGACAACAGAAGAUUCUCAGGUAUCUAUGCCCUUCAGUGACACCUAUCCACAGUGACUCUGGGCUUGGCCACCUAACUUAACUUCAGCAGAUGUGACAGAAAAAAACUCAAUAUAAGCAGAAGCUUAAAGAGUCCUUUCCAUUUACUCUCUCUCAUUUCUAUGUCUUCAGCAUGGGAAUGAGUCUGGACUUGCUUGUUGAGAGGUAAGAAGAUACAGGGAAGCAUAAACCAGAACAUGAAGGAAAACCCUAUCAAGUUCAGCAAAGCUGCCUAACCAACUCACACCUGACCUCAGAAAUGGCUUGGACACAAGUGCACACCCACCUCCGAAACAGCAAGACCUGCAGCUUCAUCCUUUCUGGCAGGUUGAUGCUCUGGGCCAGAUGGAGACCGUGGCUGUGGACCCCCAGCCCUUCCCAUCCAGCUCCAGAAGUCAAGGCUCUAAUUCACUCUGAAAGGGCUUCAGCACCACCCCUGUGAGGUCCUUAAAUGUUUUAUGAGCUCCCUGAAAUGCUCAGAUAAUUAAAACACUUUCUUAAUUUAAUAGCUUGGCUUAAUGAAACCAGGACUUUAUGUUUUAUUUGGAAAGGGGUGAACAUCCCAGUCACACUUAUUAAUAUUUUUAAGAGUAUGCCCAAUUGUGUCCAGGGAUUGAGGGAAAUCAUUGCUUCAAGGGGAAAAUGGGCUUUCCUGAGUCUGUGACAAGUCUUGGGCUUAUUAGAGCUCAUUACAUCCAGGAAGCCUGAAAACCUAAAUUAGCAAUCAUCACAUAUGACGUGGCAGGCUAUUAUUAAGGAGGCCACUUAUUAUAGAAACAUGGAAUUAUCAAUUAAAAAGUAGUCCACACAAGCCCCAAAGGUCCAAUAGGAUUACCUGUGCCAUCUAGGCAGUCAUUUCAAAGGCUAACAUGGAGAAAAGAAUCCUCAGAGAGCAACUUUUCUGUCAAGUCAAAUAAGUAUGAUCCUCUUAGGAGGAAAAUGC
RNAcentral lists this long non-coding RNA (1110 nucleotides) under Vulpes vulpes (red fox). Its description in RNAcentral is "lncRNA (ENSVVUG00000019956.1)". Lineage: Eukaryota; Metazoa; Chordata; Mammalia; Carnivora; Canidae. The record is from RNAcentral.